GAUGAACGCUAGCGGCAGGCUUAACACAUGCAAGUCGAGGGGCAUCGGGAGGGAAGCUUGCUUUCCUUGCCGGCGACCGGCGCACGGGUGAGUAACACGUAUGCAACCUGCCCUCUUCAGGGGGACAACCUUCCGAAAGGGAGGCUAAUCCCGCGUAUAUCGGUUUCGGGCAUCCGAGAUCGAGGAAAGAUUCAUCGGAAGAGGAUGGGCAUGCGGCGCAUUAGCUUGACGGCGGGGUAACGGCCCACCGUGGCGACGAUGCGUGGGGGUUCUGAGAGGAAGGUCCCCCACACUGGUACUGAGACACGGACCAGACUCCUACGGGAGGCAGCAGUGAGGAAUAUUGGUCAAUGGGAGAGAUCCUGAACCAGCCAAGCCGCGUGAGGGAAGACGGCCCUAUGGGUUGUAAACCUCUUUUGUCGGAGAACAAAACCCGGGACGUGUCCCGGACUGCGUGUAUCCGAAGAAAAAGCAUCGGCUAACUCCGUGCCAGCAGCCGCGGUAAUACGGAGGAUGCGAGCGUUAUCCGGAUUUAUUGGGUUUAAAGGGUGCGUAGGCGGUCCGUUAAGUCAGCGGUAAAAUUGCGGGGCUCAACCCCGUCGAGCCGUUGAAACUGGCAGACUUGAGUUGGCGAGAAGUACGCGGAAUGCGCGGUGUAGCGGUGAAAUGCAUAGAUAUCGCGCAGAACUCCGAUUGCGAAGGCAGCGUACCGGCGCCAGACUGACGCUGAGGCACGAAAGCGUGGGGAUCGAACAGGAUUAGAUACCCUGGUAGUCCACGCAGUAAACGAUGAAUGCUGGUUGUCCGGGUCGAAUGAGAUCUGGGCGGCGAAGCGAAAGCGAUAAGCAUUCCACCUGGGGAGUACGCCGGCAACGGUGAAACUCAAAGGAAUUGACGGGGGCCCGCACAAGCGGAGGAACAUGUGGUUUAAUUCGAUGAUACGCGAGGAACCUUACCCGGGCUCAAACGGGAGUGGAAUGGACCAGAGACGGUUCAGCCUACGGGCCGCUUCCGAGGUGCUGCAUGGUUGUCGUCAGCUCGUGCCGUGAGGUGUCGGCUUAAGUGCCAUAACGAGCGCAACCCCCGCCGGCAGUUGCUAACGGGCAAUGCCGAGGACUCUGCCGGGACUGCCGCCGCAAGGCGAGAGGAAGGCGGGGAUGACGUCAAAUCAGCACGGCCCUUACGUCCGGGGCGACACACGUGUUACAAUGGGCGGUACAGCGGGAAGCCAGGCGGCGACGCCGAGCGGAACCCGAAAGCCGUUCUCAGUUCGGAUCGGAGUCUGCAACCCGACUCCGUGAAGCUGGAUUCGCUAGUAAUCGCGCAUCAGCCAUGGCGCGGUGAAUACGUUCCCGGGCCU
RNAcentral lists this ribosomal RNA (1360 nucleotides) under uncultured bacterium. Its description in RNAcentral is "bacterial SSU rRNA". It matches the Rfam family "Bacterial small subunit ribosomal RNA", at positions 28 to 1381 of the family's 1533-position model. The record is from RNAcentral.